UGGCUCCGGCACCGAUGAAGAACGCAGCGAAAUGCGAUAAGUAAUGCGAAUUGCAGAAUCCAGCGAGUCAUCGAAUCUUUGAACGCACAUUGCGCCCGCCAGCACUCUGGCGGGCAUGCCUGUCCGAGCGUCGCCUCCACCCGUCAGCUACGGCUGUGUUGGGGCGUGGCCACGCUAGCCCUAAAAGAGAGAGGCGGGACCCCCGCGUGCCGAGCGUAGUACUGGGCGUCGCUCUGGCCCGGGGGGGGUCGCUGGCCCCGAGGAUACGAACGUCGACCUCGGAUCAGGUAGGAGUACCCGCUGA
Molecule: unclassified non-coding RNA, 304 nt
Filed under: uncultured fungus
Lineage: Eukaryota; Fungi
Description: partial contains 5.8S ribosomal RNA and internal transcribed spacer 2
Rfam family: 5.8S ribosomal RNA (bases 1-133)
Source: RNAcentral